RNAcentral lists this ribosomal RNA (408 nucleotides) under Amblyomma triste. RNAcentral's name for it is "partial 16S ribosomal RNA". Lineage: Eukaryota; Metazoa; Arthropoda; Arachnida; Ixodida; Ixodidae. The record is from RNAcentral.
GGUAUUUUGACUAUACAAAGGUAUUGAAAUAAGACUUUAAUUGAGUGCUAAGAGAAUGGAAUUUCAUAAAAUUUCUUUUUUAAUUUUAAAAAUUGAAAUUAAUUUUAUAUGUGAAGAAACAAUAAUAAAAAUUAAGGACAAGAAGACCCUAAGAAUUUUAAAGAUUUCAAUAAAAUUUUGUAUUUUAUUGAAAUCUUUUAAUUGGGGCGAUUAUUAAAUAUUAAAAACUUUAAUUUUUUUAAAAAAGAACCAAUAAUAUUGGUUAUUUGAAAAAAUACUCUAGGGAUAACAGCGUAAUAAUUUUUGAUAGUUCUUAUAGACAAAAUAGUUUGCGACCUCGAUGUUGGAUUAGGAUUCUUUUUUAAUGAAGAAGUUAAAAAAAGAAGUUUGUUCAACUUUUAAAAUCCU